This 767-nucleotide long non-coding RNA is filed under the name Trifolium pratense (red clover). Its description in RNAcentral is "long non-coding RNA (TPRA_LNC008102)". Lineage: Eukaryota; Viridiplantae; Streptophyta; Magnoliopsida; Fabales; Fabaceae. The record is from RNAcentral.
AUCUCUUAUUCAAUGUCUUAUUUUUUUAAUAUAUCAAAUGCAUCUUAAACACUCGAUUAUGUUUAGGGAUGUCAACGGGCGGGGAAUGUGCAGAGGAAGCUUCCUCGUUCCUCGCCCUGAAAUGCCUGCAGGGGAAAAAUAUGUUAACAUGUGCAGAGGAAGCUUCCCCGUUUCUCGUCCCGAAGAAAAAAAACACUGGAGUUGACAAUAAAUUCUAAUUAUUGUGGAGUAUAUGAGUAUUUAGUUAGUGCAUCAUCAUGAACAUAAUUAGAUAAGGGUCAUGUUAAGACGUGGACCAAAGGCACAUGUUAAGCUACCUAAAAGUAGAAAUAUAGCAUUUAAUGAUACAAAAUAUUUAAUAUGUAAAGAGUUGAAUUCACAAACUUAACAUUUAGUGUUUACUACAUUUAUCUUCUUAAUAUGUGUCUUUGGUGCACAUGUUAACAUUCCAAUAAAUUAUGUCAAAUAGUUUAGUCACUAAAAAUCUACCUUAGAAAUAAGUGGAAUAUCUGAGGUCCAAAUCUCAACCUUUAAAUAUAUAAUUAUGUCCCUACAAAUUAAGCUAAGUUUACCGGAACAAUAAUAAUCAUGUUUUAUUACUCAAUUUAAUGACUAAACUUUAACUUUUCAAAAAGUAAACUACAAAUAAGAUGUUUUUUUGACUAAACAAAUAAGGAUGUUGUUUAUACAUAUUUUUAAUGAUUGAAUAAUCAAUUUAUUAUGUAUAAAAAAAAUAAACUUAUUUUUAUUUUUUUGGUACAAAAUAA